GGAAUUUUCCGCAAUGGGCGAAAGCCUGACGGAGCAAGACCGCGUGGGGGAUGAAGGCUCUUGGGUUGUAAACCCCUUUUCUCAGGGAAGAAGAACUGACGGUACCUGAGGAAUCAGCAUCGGUUAACUCCGUGCCCGCAGCCGCGGUAAGACGGAGGAUGCAAGCGUUAUCCGGAAUUAUUGGGCGUAAAGCGGUCGUAGGUGGCUGUUCAAGUCUGACGUUAAAGACCGGGGCUUAACUCCGGAAAAACUGUGGAAACUGAACAGCUAGAGUAUGGUAGGGGUAAGGGGAAUUCCCGGUGUAGCGGUGAAAUGCGUAGAUAUCGGGAAGAACACCGGUGGCGAAGGCGCCUUACUGGGCCAUAACUGACACUGAGGGACGAAAGCUAGGGGAGCG
This 397-nucleotide ribosomal RNA is filed under the name uncultured bacterium. RNAcentral describes it as "bacterial SSU rRNA". It matches the Rfam family "Bacterial small subunit ribosomal RNA", at positions 358 to 770 of the family's 1533-position model. The record is from RNAcentral.